RNAcentral lists this ribosomal RNA (469 nucleotides) under uncultured bacterium. Its description in RNAcentral is "bacterial SSU rRNA". It matches the Rfam family "Bacterial small subunit ribosomal RNA", at positions 29 to 506 of the family's 1533-position model. The record is from RNAcentral.
AUGAACGCUGGCGGCGUGUCUAAGGCAUGCAAGUCGAACGGACUAAGUUGUGAUUAUAUCAAUGCUUAGUUAGUGGCAAACGGGUGCGUAACACAUUGGUAACCUACCUUCAAGACGGGCACAACUCUUCGAAAGAGGAGCUAAUUCCCGAUGGUCAUGCAAGGACGUAAGUCUUUGCAUGUAAAGUCGUAAGACACUUGAAGAGGGGCCUAUGGUCUAUCAGCUAGUUGGUGAGGUAAUGGCUCACCAAGGCUUUGACGGAUAGCAGGCGUGAGAGCGCGACCUGCCUCAGUGGGACUGAGACACUGCCCACACUCCUACGGGAGGCUGCAGUCAAGAAUAUUCCCCAAUGGCCGAAAGGCUGAGGGAGCGACGCCGCGUGCAGGAAGAAGGCCUUCGGGUCGUAAACUGCUUUUACCAGGGACGAACAAAUGACGGUACCUGGUGAAUAAGAGGUUGCUAACUCUGU